GUAGGGCCAUCAGACUUAGCUGAAGCAUUGUUAGAAUUGGACGAAGUGCCAGUAACAGCAGCUGCAGGCUUGUUUCCUCCCCCAAAGAGACCAGCAGGGGGAGCAAAUGGACGAGAUAAGCUACCUUCAGCAGCCUUAUUAAAGAUGUAAAUGGAAACCAAGUUGUUAGUAAACAAGGAAAUCAAAGGGAGAAUGGACUGAAUCACCAAUGGUUGAGCAUAACCCAUAUACAAAUGC
Non-coding RNA from Schizosaccharomyces pombe (fission yeast), 237 nucleotides. Lineage: Eukaryota; Fungi; Ascomycota; Schizosaccharomycetes; Schizosaccharomycetales; Schizosaccharomycetaceae. The record is from the annotation of a GenBank genome assembly.